AUUGAACGCUGGCGGCAUGCCUUACACAUGCAAGUCGAACGGCAGCGGACCUUCGGGUGCCGGCGAGUGGCGAACGGGUGAGUAAUAUAUCGGAACGUACCUUUCAGUGGGGGAUAACGUAGCGAAAGUUACGCUAAUACCGCAUAUUCUGUGAGCAGGAAAGCAGGGGAUCGCAAGACCUUGCGCUGAUUGAGCGGCCGAUAUCAGAUUAGCUAGUUGGUGAGGUAAAGGCUCACCAAGGCGACGAUCUGUAGCGGGUCUGAGAGGAUGAUCCGCCACACUGGAACUGAGACACGGUCCAGACUCCUACGGGAGGCAGCAGUGGGGAAUUUUGGACAAUGGGCGCAAGCCUGAUCCAGCCAUGCCGCGUGAGUGAAGAAGGCCUCGGUUGUAAAGCUCUUUCGGUCCGGGAGGAAAUACGCACAGGUUAAUACCCUGUGUGGAGUGACGGUACCGGAA
This 459-nucleotide ribosomal RNA is filed under the name uncultured bacterium. RNAcentral describes it as "bacterial SSU rRNA". It matches the Rfam family "Bacterial small subunit ribosomal RNA", at positions 30 to 483 of the family's 1533-position model. The record is from RNAcentral.